This 427-nucleotide ribosomal RNA is filed under the name uncultured bacterium. RNAcentral describes it as "bacterial SSU rRNA". It matches the Rfam family "Bacterial small subunit ribosomal RNA", at positions 355 to 774 of the family's 1533-position model. The record is from RNAcentral.
UGGGGAAUUUUGGACAAUGGGCGCAAGCCUGAUCCAGCAAUGCCGCGUGCAGGAUGAAGGCCUUCGGGUUGUAAACUGCUUUUGUACGGAACGAAAAAGCUCUCUCUAAUACAGGGGGUGAAUGACGGUACCGUAAGAAUAAGCACCGGCUAACUACGUGCCAGCAGCCGCGGUAAUACGUAGGGUGCAAACGUUAAUCGGAAUUACUGGGCGUAAAGCGUGCGCAGGCGGUUUUGUAAGACAGAGGUGAAAUCCCCGGGCUCAACCUGGGAACUGCCUUUGUGACUGCAAAGCUGGAGUGCGGCAGAGGGGGAUGGAAUUCCGCGUGUAGCAGUGAAAUGCGUAGAUAUGCGGAGGAACACCGAUGGCGAAGGCAAUCCCCUGGGCCUGCACUGACGCUCAUGCACGAAAGCGUGGGGAGCAAACA